RNAcentral lists this ribosomal RNA (466 nucleotides) under uncultured bacterium. Its description in RNAcentral is "bacterial SSU rRNA". It matches the Rfam family "Bacterial small subunit ribosomal RNA", at positions 27 to 507 of the family's 1533-position model. The record is from RNAcentral.
CGGACGAACGCUGGCGGCGUGCCUAACACAUGCAAGUCGAGCGAAUGAAGUUCCUUCGGGAACGGAUUUAGCGGCGGACGGGUGAGUAACACGUGGGCAACCUGCCUCAUAGAGGGGAAUAGCCUUCCGAAAGGGAGAUUAAUACCGCAUAAGAUUGUAGUACCGCAUGGUACAGCAAUUAAAGGAGCAAUCCGCUAUGAGAUGGGCCCGCGGUGCAUUAGCUAGUUGGUGAGGUAACGGCUCACCAAGGCGACGAUGCGUAGCCGACCUGAGAGGGUGAUCGGCCACAUUGGGACUGAGACACGGCCCAGACUCCUACGGGAGGCAGCAGUGGGGAAUAUUGCACAAUGGGGGAAACCCUGAUGCAGCAACGCCGCGUGAGUGAUGACGGCCUUCGGGUUGUAAAGCUCUGUCUUCAGGGACGAUAAUGACGGUACCUGAGGAGGAAGCCACGGCUAACUACGUG